Lytechinus pictus (painted urchin) is the source of this 8556-nucleotide long non-coding RNA. RefSeq lists it as uncharacterized. The transcript has 11 exons. The record is from RefSeq and is a predicted model, not a curated record. NCBI's taxonomy places the organism in Eukaryota, Metazoa, Echinodermata, Echinoidea, Temnopleuroida, Toxopneustidae.
CAUGUAUCACUCGGUGUACAGCGUGGAUACAUCCCCUAUCUUGUGUGAACUAUCUUCCAGCAUAAAUGAAAGAGCCACUCUACUAGAAACAAGGAAAUGACACCAAUCUUGAUAUUAUCAUCUACAUGUAAUGUCUGGCGUGAGCAGUUAUUGGUAUUUAGUCAUAUCACUCAGUGUACAACAUGGCCACAUCCCCUAUCUUGUGUGAACUAUCUUCCAGCAGAAAUGAAAGAGCCAGUCUUCCAGAAACAAGGACAUGACACCAAUCUUAAUAUUAUCAUCUACAUGGAAUGUCUGGAGUGAGUAGAUAUUGGUAUUUAGUCAUAUCACUCGGUGUACAGCAUGGAUACAUCUCUUAUCUUGUGUGAACCAUCUUCCAGCAUAAAUAAGAGAGCUAGUUUACCACUGACAAGGACAUGACACCAAUCUUGAAAUCAUUAUAUACAUGGAAUGUCUAGUGUGAGCACUUAUUGAUAUUUAGUCACGUCACUCAGUGUACAGCAUGGAUGCACACCCUUGUGUGAACUAUCUUCCAGCAUAAAUGAAAGGACCACUCUACUAGAAACAAGGACCUGACACCAAUCCUGAUGUUGUCAUCUACAUGGAAUGUCUGGCGUGAGCAGUUAUUGGUAUUUAGUCAUAUCACUCAGUGUAGAACAUGGCUACAUCCCCCAUCUUGUGUGAACCAUCUUCCAGCAUAGAUGAAAGAGCCAGUCUACCAGAAAGACAUGACACCAAUCUUGAUAUUAUCAUCUACAUGGAAUGUCUGGAGUGAGCAGUUAUCGGUAUUUAGUCACGUCACUCAGUGUACAGCAUGUCUACAUCCCCUAUCUUGUGUGAACCAUCUUCCAGUAUAAAUGAAAGAGCCAUUCUACCAGAAACAAUUACAUGACUCCAAUUUUGAUAUUAUCAUCUACAAGGAAUAUCUGAGGUGAGCAGUUAUUGGUAUUUAGUCACGUCACUCAGUAUACAGCAUGGAUGCACUCCCUUUCUUGUGUGAACCAUCUUCCAUCAUAAAUAAGAGAGCUAGUUUACCUUUCACAAGGACAUGACACCAACCUUGAAAUCAUCAUCUACACGGAAUAUCUGGGUCACGUCACUCAGUGUACAGCAUGGAUGCAUACCCUUUCUUGUGUGAACCAUCUUCCAGCAUAAAUGAAAGAGCCAUUCUACGAGAGACAAGGACCUGACACCAAUCUUGAUGUUGUAAUCUUCAUGGAAUAUCUGGCAUGAGCAGUUAUUGGUAUUUAGUCAUGUCACUCAAUGUACAGCGUGGAUACAUCCCCUAUCUUGUGUGAACUAUCUUCCAGCAUAUAUAAGAGAGCUAGUUUCCUAGAGACAAGGACAUGACACCAAUCUUCAUAUCAUCAUCUACAUGGAAUGUCUGGCAUGAGCAGUUAUUGGUAUUUAGUCACAUCACUCAGGGUACAGCGUAGAUACAUCCCCAAUCUUGUGUGAACUAUCUUCCAGCAUAAAUGAGAGAGCUAGUCCACCAGAGACAGGGACAUGACACCAAUCUUGAUAUUAUCAUCUACAUGGAAUGUCUAGCAUAUGCAGUUAUUGGUAUUUAGUCAUGUCACUCAGUGUACAUGUACAGCAUGGCUACAUCCCCUAUCUAGUGUGAACCAUCUUCUAGCAGAAAUGAAAGAGCUAGUCUACCAGAGUUAAGGAUAUGACACCAAUCUUGAAAUCAUCAUCCACACGAAAUGUCUGGAUGAGUAUUGGUAUUGGUAGUUUCAAAAGUAAAUGGUCAGAUCUGUGCAUUUCUUAUUCUUUGGAGGCUGUAUACAAAAAGACAAUGAUGUAUAUUGACUGGGUAUGCAUGUUUUCACAUAAAUAUCAGAUCAAAUUUUACAGCCGGCACUUUUUUCCCAUUUUUCUAUAGGGAACUCUUAUUUAUUGAAUUAUAAGUGGGGGAUAUUACAAAAGACGGCAACAAUUUCCAAGGACACAGAGAGGGGCAUUUAGUCCAGUAAACGGGCAUCCACAAAUUAUUUAUUAUCAAACAAAUUGAAUGAACCAAAUAUCAUUUAAAAUGUAUUCAAAACAUGUUUUAUUAUUAAAUAUGUGACUUUACCUUUGCUUGCCAUGUGUAUCGCCCUAUUUGCACAAUUUAUGACAUGUAAAAAGUUUUUAUUGACUUUAUGGUAUAGCUAGUGGACAGUUUCUACCUCCCUUUUAUACCAAAAUUUUGGCCACAUUUGAAUAACUCAGAACAACAUGCUCCAACACACAAAAAAAGUUAAUUUACCAAAAAUCAGUGAUUCAUGUAAAUAGGACAAUGUACAUGGCCAGUGAGGGUAUAUGCAUUUGCUACUCAUGAACCCAUUUUCAUGUGUUUUAUAAUAAGUUUUGUGUAGAUCCAAGGGGCAGGUCCAAGCUAUUAUCUGUAUCUAAAUUAUUUGUUCUUUCAUUAAUGGAUGCAUACAAUGUAGGGCAUAUUUACUAGAAAAAAAUAAUUUGUGCAUAAUGUUGGAAAUGUUUAGCAAGUAUUGUGAGGCUUAUAAUUAAGAUUGCCAUUUGGUAAUCGAGCCUUGGAUGGAUUUGUGGAGAACUUUUGUGUUAACUAGUCUGCAAAAGUGGAUCCAAAGGUUUUCCAGAGUUUUUGCCUUUUGUGUUUUAUCUCUGGUUUUUUACCCUGGAUCUACUUGUCGUAGAAUUUUUUUAACACAAACAUUUCUCCCUGCCAACUUCUGUGCACAAUAUUUAUAUACAUACUUAUUUUUCCAUGAAUAUUGUUAAUAUGUUCUGUCCAAUUUAGUCAAUUGUUACUCAAAGAAAGUAUAUGAUAUGAAUAUUCCCAAUUUCAAUAUUUCAAUUGCCAAAUCAUAGAUCAAAUGCACAGUGUAUAAUGUGUGUUGCUGUAAAUCUUUAACCCUGAAAAGACUUUUUUUUAAAUCUUGUGCAACGUUCGAGAUCAAAUUUACGACCCCCGGGUAUGCAGUUCCGAAAUAAUAAAACAUGUAAUUGCAUGUCAGGCAUCAAAUUCCAAAAAAAGGCAUUAUUUCAGGUACUCUACAAAUCCCAUGCAAAUUCUAUUUCUUGCCAAAAUUCAUAAAUAAAUGUGUCAUUAAUUUUUUCUGUAUGCUUAUCAAAAUCACCAUCUCAUGUGGUUUGUGAUAGGAAAAAUGUUAACAAUUUCCAUCAAAAAAUUGGGUCAUUGUAUACCUGAAAAUAUCACUUGCCCUGCGACAACGUCAGGUUUGAUUUAAGGAUCGAUUUUAAACUUUGGUCACAAUGGCAAAGGUCAUGAGGUUAUAAUUUAAAAUUUUAUGUUUUUAUUGUUGGUCUGGCAAUGGUGGAUGUAUUAAUUUCGACUGCAUGCAGUUGAGAAACUAUUUAGUUUCUCUUAAUUUGUCAUGGCCCUAAUAUUUUCUUUUUAUUAGAGAAACAAAUUCCCACUGUAUAAAAGCCUAGUGUUUGAAAGCGUUUAUUACUUCAUUGAUUACUUUAGAUUUUUUAAAUGUUUAGGAAACUAGCAAAACAAUUCUGAGAAGUGUUUCACAAGUGAAUCAAUGCAAUUUAAAAAGUCAUGCCUAAGUGUUAGUGUGCACGCAAUAUUUAAUGCACAGUCUUAUUGAUUCAUAUGCACCAGGAUGAAUACUCUCUGAGCGUGAUCCAACCAGUAUUGUGACCCAUUUUAUUUUCCACAUGCAAGUGUAAAUUCAAAAGUGAAUUGAAUCACACUCACACUUCAAUCUUUGUGAAACACCUCUUUAGUUUGUUGUGUCAGAUAGCUUGGACCUGCCUUGUAAUUUACUAUUGUCUGUAUUAUAAUUAUACUUUAUUUGUAUUCAUCCUUUUUUUUUCUUUCUUGAAUAAAAUGUAAGACCAGCAGCCGAGAAGAUUCAUUCAAGUUGGAGGACCAUGGCAGUUGACCUCAUUGAUUGCUGGGGUAGGCCCUAGACCUCACAAACAUGGCUUCCUGUCUGGUUUGAGCUGGGAUCUUCCUGCCAGAAUCACACAAUAAGUGAUGUCACUACCAACUGAUCUGUUUUUCAGUGUGCAGAGAAGGACACUAGACGCUGCUGUGCAUGGCAUACAGCUUCCAUAAUGUAAGUGCUUUAUUGAUGAUUUCAAUGAUAUCUUGUGUAGCCUAGAGUAUGUGAGACAAUGCAAUUGGUUUUCCAGCAAUUAUUAGGGUAUGCUAACGGCAAUAACUAUUAUGGAAGUAUUGGGCAGAAAUGUCUAAAUUGCACCUUUUAAAUUCAUGACAUUUUCUUUACUCUUUGGAAUGAAAUUCUUUUCAUGAAAAUCCAUCAAAACAAUACCAUUACUCCACCUGCCUCCCCUCAUGUUUCACUUUCCUGUUUGGUUUCCCCUCUAAAAUACUAGCAUUAUCUGUUUAUCCAUUAAUUGCAGUCUCUCUUUUACCUCUGUGUACUAUCUACUGUAGCUGUCACUCUAAAUCCAUCUUUUUCACACCCUCUCAACACGAUAUUCACCAUGACUGAUAUGAUAAUGUGCUAUGAAUACUUAAGCAAAUUCUUUAACAAGGCAAUUUGUAAUUUACAGAUUUCAAUUACAUUAAAAAAAAUUAAUUGCAGAACCACAUGAGAAAGUGGUAUUAAUGAUUUUACAAUACAAUUCCCUUUUCUGUACAUGUUUAUUUUUUUGAACGGACUAAUUUGAAUAAGUUUUGUUGAUCCUCUCCCCGUUCGCUAUAAAACUGAUGUUUGUGCAAGCAUAUAUUCAUCACGUUAUUACACAAUGUGUAGAGAUAAUGGACUGCUGCUUGGAAUGAUGUGAUCUGUGACCCAAUAUCGGUUCGUCUGCCCAAAAAUAUAUAUUCACUAAAAAAUCAAAAGUUAACUAUUGAGUUUUCACCCAUUGUUAUGAGGAUUGUGUACUUCAAUGGUUUUUCCACAAUGUUUAAAAAGGGGGGACAAAAUGCUAAAUCAACCAUACAAAUACAUGUUAGUCUUGAAUCUAGUUUCAGGAGCGCAAUGUCAAAUUGUCAGUUGCUUUUCAAUGAAGUAUACAGGAGUGUUGCAUUUUCAGUGUUUCGUAUUUCCCCUCAUCGAUAUUUGUUAUGGGCCUUUUGCUUGGAUGUCUAAUUUCAUAAAUGGAGCAGUGUAGCUGAGACGACUUUGUGACUCGGAGGCAUUGAUCAAUACUGAUUAAGGACUGGAUGCACUUUGAAUAUACCCUGGCCUAAUUAACCACUUGUGUCUGCACAAAGAAGGGCAGAAAGGAUACGUUGGCGAGUGCUUGAAUAGAGCAUACCUGAAUUCUGGAAAUGUGUUUCAACCGCAUGUGAAAUAUUUGUAUCUGGUGUCUGGUAAUGUUGUGAAAAUCCCCAAGUACUGACUGAAGGAAUGGAGUUUUUCCAGCUCAUACUUCACAUAUUUUCUUUUGGACAUUCAAAUGGUAAUGUUUCAUGAGUUGUCUGUGUCUUGGAUUGUUUUAAUGAUUUCUGGUGGUAUGACUAUUGACGAGAGGAUACCAUGCGCGACCAUGGGGUCUCGAAAAGCACCCUAAACACGUAUUUUCCAUAUUCUGAAAAUGCACCCCUUAACAAGACUUGGUGUGUGAAACCCUACCCUUAACAAGUAUUACAAACAAAACGAUACUCUUGGCAAGUAUUUCCUGAAUUGAACCCCUAAACAAGUACAGCGAUAUUUCAAUUGUUAUGCCACGGACGACGUCGGUCGUCGGUUUUACCUACAUCAUUGGGUUUAGUACAGCCCCACCUCACAACACCUCGCGCAAAUUGUACUCUGAACACGUAGUGUUGACUCUUGGGGCAAAAAGUACACCCUUUAUAAAACAUUUUAGUCUUAAUUUUUUAUACCCUCGCAAAUUAAGGGCCAAAUUUGCGAUACCCUUUUUUCAUUAUUUUAGAUACCCUUUUUUCAUUAUUUUAGUGUUUUUUACACCCUUAUUACGUUACGUACGUAACGUGCCCUAUCUUGAAAAAGACAUCCUUUUUACGUGUUUUUUGGUCGCGCAUGGUAUCCACUCGUCAAUGUCAGUGGCCCCCCCGGGAGACAUGAUGGUUCUCUGAUGUAUAUGGCUCAUGUCAUCUAAACUUUUGUCUUGUGGAAUUGACUUCUUUGGUAUUCUUCAGUCUUGUACGAGUGUGUUGGCCUAUUUGUUGUCUCAGAAAAAUUCUUGUUGGAUCUAGAUCUAGUUGAUCAUUUCUAGUCUCAUCCCCAACUUUGACCUCACAUUGAAACGAUCCUGUAUGACAUCUGUAUCCCUUCAUCUGAAAAUCUUUCAUGGGAACUUGCAUGUCUCUCACCUCAGGGAAGUUGGAGUUUCUUAACCAGGUCCUGGGGCUUGACUCGAGGUGGUGUUUGGCUAUUCUUUCGCCUUUUGGUAUGUGGAUAGGGCAGUGAUCUACCCGAUAGUCAGCCUUCUGAAUUCUUCAAUUUAUGUUUUUUUUCCAUUUGUUUUUCAAUCAUUGAAUCGUCCGAUACUUUUUUCUCAGAACAUUUAAUGUCAUAUCUUGUGUCAACGAGAAUUUUGAUUUAUUCACUUGGUUAGAGUGGUUGCUUUAUUUUGGAAGGCAUUUGAUGUAACUUGACAUAUCUAAUUUUGGUGAUCAAGAUGUAUUCAAAUUUACAUAAGUUCUCUACUGGGCUUAGAACACUUAUUCCAUCCAAACUGGCACUGUUCAAUGGAGAUUCCUAAACAAAUUUGUUCUAGUUACGGAUUCAUCCACUGUGAAUAAAGGAUGGUGACAUUUCCUACGAGAAGGAGCCAGAGUGGGAGGUUUCUCUGAGCGUCAACAGUAUCCUCACAUAGAUUGAAAGUGUGGCAUGGGUAUUCUAGCCUAUUUUUUACCCACUUUUUAAGUUUCUUUUUGUAGAUUGGGAGUGUAAUUUGAUGACCUCUCCUGGCAGAUUGUUCCAACUGUCAUUGUCCCUUUUGCAGAAGAAAUUGUGUCCUUACAUCCAUUCAGAACCAGUCUGGGAAAUUUUAUAGGGCGCUGUCUCUGAAAGUUGGUAUUGCUUCUCAAUUGCCCUUUUGCCAAAGAAGUGGUUUCCUACAUCCCAGUGUGAGAGGAAUUUCUGACUUUUUAUCCUGUCAUUUCUGAAAUGUGACAUUGCUUUUUAUUGACCCUUUGGCUGAAGGAAUAAUUUCCUACAUUGGAAAGAAUUUAGACAUUGUGUUAGGUGGCGUUUCUGAAAUUUGACAUUGUGCUCCACAACUAGAAUACAUGCAUUGUACUGUUAUGAUUGAUAGGCCAUUAUUAAACCAUUGUGGGAUUAUGAAGUGCACAUCCUCUGGACGAGCCUAUGUUGAGGAUUUAACCCAUUAGGUCUAGAUUCACAAGCCAUGUCUUUCCAACGGCCCCUUGCCUUAUCUCUCAGAGUUGUGUGAAAGACGUGAUGAAUACUGUAAGUACAAACAUUAGGUGUCCCCUUGACAGAAAAACAAAGAAAACAAACAUCAAAUGUUCUCCCUUUUGGUUUCUUUCUUUUCACCAAAAUGCACUGAAGUUCAUAGGAACACAAUUGCAUCAUGUACAGAAAAGUGUGUUUAUUUGUAAAAUUGUAAAUCUUCCAUUUGCUCAAUAGAAAAGAAUCCCCCCCAAAAAAAGAUUUACGAAAAUAUAUAUACAUAUAUAAUUAAAAGGAAUAUUGAAUAAAUAAAAAAUUAGUAAAACUGAGAUAAAAUAAAGAAAAUGAAAAAAAAAAUAAAAGGAUGGUGACAAUGAUUAAUCAUAAUACUCAAAUAUUCAUCUUUUUUAUAAAUAUGAUAAAAUUAUAAUUAUUUAGAACAUAUCAGUCAUGGAGAAUAAAUGUUGAAAGGAUGUGAAAUGAAGAAAGAUUGACAGGAUAUGGAGAGCAUUUCAUGAAGAGUUUUGUCUGUGAUUAUCACUUAAUUUCUCUCAGCCAAUCAGAUGCAUUGAUUUACAGUAGCUUAUAACAUCUGUGAAAAUCACUGACAUGAAUAUUCAUGAAAUGCUCCCUUUGAUGGAUAGUACAGGGAGGUAUGAAGAGAGAACACAAUAGGUGGAUUCACAGAUAAACUUGUAGAAAGAGGGGGAAUAGAGGGGAGGAGGGGGGGGGGUAAUGAGAUAGGGAGCAGAUUAAAGAAUUGUCCAAGGGUGAAUAGAGAGACUACAAAGGAAAUUAACACACUGAUUCAUUUGGAAGAAAGAAAAGGAAGGGGGAUGGGGGAAGAGGAGGGGGGUGGGGCAAAUGUAGAUGUGGGUGAAGCCCCCCCCCCCCAAGCAAACACAAAAUUACUUGGAAAAUCAAUGCAUUGUCUUUCUUACCCUUAGCUAUGCAGGGUAUCAUUGAACUUGAAAAUAAAGCACCUGCAUUAAGGAUGGGGUAUAUCAUGCAUGACAGUGUCCAGUGCCCCGCCCUGCACACUUGAAAAUUAGACUCUUGGUAGUGGCAUCAUGUAUUGUGUGAUUCUGGCAGGAAGACCCCCAGCUCGGAUCAGGCUGCUGGCCAUUUUGUGAGGUUUGGGGUUUGCUCUAUUGAAUCGAUAGGUCAGCUGCUAUGGCAACCUCCUUACUUGCAUGAAUCUUCUUGGCUGCUGGUCAUUUUUUUUAUAUUUUUUUUCUUUGAAAAAUAAAUCCAUUGAUGUUAGUGA